Triticum aestivum (bread wheat) is the source of this 1461-nucleotide long non-coding RNA. RefSeq lists it as uncharacterized. Lineage: Eukaryota; Viridiplantae; Streptophyta; Magnoliopsida; Poales; Poaceae. The transcript has 5 exons. The record is from RefSeq and is a predicted model, not a curated record.
AGCCGCUGCAUCCGGCCGCACUCGAGCCCGCACUCGCGCCCCACCCACCCACUCUGCUCUCUUCCCCGAUCCCCUCCCACGAACCCUAGCCUCCCGGUGCCGCCACCCCUCCCCCCCCCCCCGCGCCGCGAGCCCCUCCCUCCUCUUCGUGUUGCCGGCCGUCGCGGCGACGCAGAGUGGCCCAGAUGCGGCCGCCCCGUGGUUGGCUUCGACAAGCACGGCCUUGAUCCGGCCUCAGCAGGAAGACCUCGAGCCGAGGAGCGCGGCCUCGAUCGGGACUCGGCAUCUGGGGCGGCGACGGAGGAGGGGAAAGGAGGGGAGCAGCAGCCAGCAUCGGGACGGCGGCGGCGACUUGACUCCAUAAGCUGGUCGAGGUUGUUCAAGCAAGGCAGGUGGUGGGGUCAAGGGGCAGGGGAGGCGGGCGAAGAGGAUAAGAAGCAGCCGACCCGUCGCAAUGGUGUGAGGCUGCAGGGAAGAGGAAGGAGGACGACGACGGGAUGAAUGAGUAGGUCAGCCCUCAUGGAGACGGCGCCGCCGGCCAGGGGCGCUAUUGGCGCGCUGGAUGUCGUCCUUCUCAACCCGUGCUCGCCUCCCCUCGCUUCUGGCGCCCAGGAGCUCGAGUAGGAAGAGGAGACCUCGAUGGUCUGCGGCUCGUGGAGACCCGCGCAUCCUCUAACCUCGACAAGAUCAUGCAAUUCCUUUCAAUCCAUGGAACAGUGUGUGCGUUAGGCGAUAGCAAGGCCGUCGGACAAUCAUGAUGCUAUUUUCUUAUUUGAAAUCAGAAUGCUACUAGGACAUUCUUAAUUUUGGAAAAUCAGAUCAAACAAGAGAUAUGAUUGGUACCUGGUGAUACAAUUGGAGAAAGGGAUAUGAUAUGUCUGGCAAUGGUUUAGGAAGGUAUUCACUUAUCCGAAACAAAAGCAUAGAUUGUUAGGGACGAGGAUCAUCAGUGGCCAUGCAGGAGCAACAACAGGUGAUCAUGCCUAGUUCGUGAAUUUAUUCUCCUAGCUUGGAGGCUUCCUGCUCAAGGAGGGAGCAGCAGGCAUAGAAGAAAUCCCAAGUCAAUUUUGCUCAGCUGUAGCAUCUUCCACUGACAAUAAGUCUGCACAGCAGCCUGGUGAGGCUGAUGUUCUUGCUCAGUAUAAGCCAACAAUGGAGAAACUGACCAAGCUAUGUUUCAUGAUCAGUUACACAUCAAGCCUAUAUUUUUGCUGCUUCUACAUGUUGCUAUGAUGGUCAUUCAGCCCAUUUUCUUGAACCUGCACUACAACGAGAGAUCUGGGCUGCUUCUUUGUGGCUUCCAAACUUAAAAUGUUUGUUUGGAAGUUAGUUUAGUUUUUUGUUGUGGAUUCACAGCUUCUCACAUGUACCGUCCUCUUAGACCUUUAGAUUUUCAAAGAAACUAAAUGAAGAUAUGGUGGUAUGGUCUUAAUAAUACAACUUAAAGCCUUUCAUGCUUUA